RNAcentral lists this non-coding RNA (102 nucleotides) under Loxodonta africana (African savanna elephant). Lineage: Eukaryota; Metazoa; Chordata; Mammalia; Proboscidea; Elephantidae. The record is from RNAcentral.
GGAAAAACAAAAGGCAGUGAGUUCUCUCAGCCAAUUUCUCAGCCAAUUACAGGUCAACCUUCUCGUCUACCCCCGCUCACUGCUGCGCUUGACUGGUCUUUG